UUGGAGGGCAAGUCUGGUGCCAGCAGCCGCGGUAAUUCCAGCUCCAAUAGCGUAUAUUAAAGUUGUUGCAGUUAAAAAGCUCGUAGUUGAAUUUCGGGAUCAAGGAAUCGGUCAUGCCUUGGUAUGUACUGGUUUUAUUGGUUCUCACCUUCUAAAGAACCAUAAUGUCAUUUAUUUGAUGUUAUGGGGAAUUAGGACUGUUACCUUGAAAAAAUUAGAGUGUUUAAAGCAAGCUUACGCUUGAAUACAUUAGCAUGGAAUAAUGAAAUAGGACAUCAGAUUCUAUUUUGUUGGUUUCUAGGAUCGAUGUAAUGAUUAAUAGGGAUAGUUGGGGGCAUUAGUAUUCAAUUGUCAGAGGUGAAAUUCUUGGAUUUAUUGAAGACUAACUACUGCGAAAGCAUUUGCCAAGGAUGUUUUCAUUAAUCAAGAACGAAAGUUAGGGGAUCGAAGACGAUCAGAUACCGUCGUAGUCUUAACCAUAAACUAUGCCGACUAGGGAUCGGAUGAUGUUAAUUUUUUAAUGACUCAUUCGGCGCCUUACGGGAAAC
This 548-nucleotide ribosomal RNA is filed under the name uncultured Glomeromycotina. RNAcentral describes it as "SSU rRNA". It matches the Rfam family "Eukaryotic small subunit ribosomal RNA", at positions 548 to 1098 of the family's 1831-position model. The record is from RNAcentral. RNAcentral also lists the same sequence under 1 other name. Lineage: Eukaryota; Fungi; Glomeromycota.